This 669-nucleotide long non-coding RNA is filed under the name Homo sapiens (human). RNAcentral's name for it is "non-protein coding ZNF433-AS1:5". The record is from RNAcentral. Lineage: Eukaryota; Metazoa; Chordata; Mammalia; Primates; Hominidae.
AAUCCGCCGGAAGGAGGGCGCAGCAUUGCCGGUCUUCUCAUUGCCUGGCUGCUAGAGGAAACCCGAAGUCGGGAUUCUUUCUUUCCUGCUCUGAGAGGGACCAGGUCCCUCCUCCGUAGCUUUUGUCUCUCUAUUGCCUGCGCCGUGUCCUGGACUGCUCACGGGAGUUCUGCAGGAGACGCCGGAAUAUCUGGAAGCUGAAAAAUGGAAAUAAAUGGAAAGACCAGAAUAUUGAAGAUCACUACAGAAAUCUAAGGUGACUCCCACGACCAGUGCGGGUCACAGCACAGGCGACAGAAGCUAUGGCAGAGGCACCUGAACCCUCUCGGAGGGGAAAGCCAGGCUCCCAACCUCAGCUCGCCGCCUGGAGCCGGGAACCGAGGAGAGCAGGGCCUUCGCCCUCCCCGAUGGACACUCGGCAGGCCCCGCCCAGCGCCCCUGAUUGGACGAAGCGCCGGGCCCCGCCCCCUCAGCCUUUUGAGUCAGGGUCUCACCCUGUGGCCCAGGCUGCCCUCCAGUGAUGCCAUCAUGACUCAGUGCAACCUCAAACUCCCAGGUUCAAGCGAUCUUCCAUCCUGACCUCCAAAAGGGCUGGAUUAUACACAUAAGCCAUGUCACACUUUAUAUGUUUCUAGGGAAGCUUUUCUAAGAAUAAAUACAUUGGAACUA